This 492-nucleotide ribosomal RNA is filed under the name uncultured bacterium. Its description in RNAcentral is "partial 16S ribosomal RNA". It matches the Rfam family "Bacterial small subunit ribosomal RNA", at positions 29 to 507 of the family's 1533-position model. The record is from RNAcentral.
AGUGAACGCUGGCGGUAGGCCUAACGCAUGCAAGUCGAACGGCAGCACAGUAAGAGCUUGCUCUUACGGGUGGCGAGUGGCGGACGGGUGAGGAAUACAUCGGAAUCUACUUUUUCGUGGGGGAUAACGUAGGGAAACUUACGCUAAUACCGCAUACGACCUACGGGUGAAAGCAGGGGAUCCUCGGACCUUGCGCGAUUGAAUGAGCCGAUGUCGGAUUAGCUAGUUGGCGGGGUAAAGGCCCACCAAGGCGACGAUCCGUAGCUGGUCUGAGAGGAUGAUCAGCCACACUGGAACUGAGACACGGUCCAGACUCCUACGGGAGGCAGCAGUGGGGAAUAUUGGACAAUGGGCGCAAGCCUGAUCCAGCCAUACCGCGUGGGUGAAGAAGGCCUUCGGGUUGUAAAGCCCUUUUGUUGGGAAAGAAAAGCAGCAGGUUAAUACCCCGCUGUUCUGACGGUACCCAAAGAAUAAGCACCGGCUAACUUCGUG